UUGCGGAACGCACUAGUGCCGAGCUCAGGCGGACGACGCGGCAAACGGCAGAGACGCCAUUACUACCGUUGCGUUUCUCUAGUGUGCGCGUCUUAGAUCUUUCCGUUUCACAGCGCCGGGGACCGGAAUCGUUCUACCUUUUACUUCCGUACUUCGCUUUCUUUCGUCACGUCUGAGUCGCGUGCGAUUUUAUUGUUCCGUGAAUUCCACGCGGAUUCCUUUGUACGCCGAUACGCUGCCGUGAACAGUUCGACGCAGGUUCUUGUACGAGCCGCAAAAUGCCGGGUUUUAGCAGCGUUGGCACAUUUAAAAUCUUCAUUGGUAAUUUAGCCGAUAAGACCUCGAACGCAGACAUAAAGCCAUUGUUCGAGAAGUAUGGAAAAGUAGUGGAAUGCGAUGUGGUAAAGAAUUAUGGCUUCGUGCAUAUGGAAAAUGAAGAAGCUGGUCGAAAUGCGAUACAAAAUCUGAAUGGACACAUGGUUCAUGGUCAGCCGAUAAAAUGUGAAGCUGCAAAGAGUCGCAAGGGACCCAACACUCCCACGACGAAGAUCUUUGUGGGCAAUCUUACAGAUAACACUAAGGCGCCGCAGGUUCGCGAACUGUUUGCUAAGUACGGCACUGUUGUUGAGUGCGAUAUCGUAAGAAACUACGGUUUCGUUCAUCUGGAGGCAACUGGCGACGUGAACGAUGCCAUCAAGGAGCUGAAUGGUCAGAUCGUGGAUGGACAACCGAUGAAGGUCCAGAUAUCUACUAGUCGAGUACGACAGAGGCCAGGCAUGGGGGAUCCGGAACAAUGCUACCGAUGCGGACGAGGCGGUCACUGGUCGAAGGAAUGUCCCAAGGGAGGGAUGGGAGGUGGACCAGAUAGGAAUGGAUACAGGGACCGAAUGUUUGGACGCGAUCCUUAUCCUCCACCGCCGCCACCACCGUUCCUACGGGACCGGCUCAUGGGUGGUGGCCGCUUUGGGGAUUACGAAAGCUACUACGACAGGCGCGGCUUCGAGGACACCAGGGACCUCUACGAGAGGCGGUUUACGGGUAUGACAGGGCCCAGUGACAUGGGUUCUACCAUGUGCGGGCUAGACUUUCCACCAAUGACAAUGCCACCUCUACCACCAAGACGAGACCCAAUGCCUCCUAUGCCUCCUCUAGGUAUGGGAUCCAUGCGUGACACUGGCUUCUCCCGUGGUAACGAGUAUGGAAUGUUCAGCCGCCGAUCACCCCCUCCAAGUGGCAACAACGGCCGGUUCAGUAGAGGCAUGUACGAGGACUUCAGCCGAGAUUCGUUUGAAGAGCGUAGAACAAUUGGCACCGCGGAUGAGGUGGUCGCGCACGAGCUAGCAUAUAGCGCGAAUAAGUCGCUUCAUCAUGCAUACACGGAUGUGGAAUACUAAUUCUCCCUCUAUAUGUGUUAAAACAAGGGAACACUGGGAAAUAAUAUCGAAUUCCGAUAUAAGCCUGCUACGUACCUUUCUCGUGUUAACAGUACGAGAUGAGUACCUGUUUUGUACAUUUUUUUUUUAUACGUGACUCACGUGUGUUUUUGCUAGUUCUUAUUUUUUAAUAAAUAUCAAAACACGUGCGAACGACGUCUCCUUAAAUUGUGACUGAGAAUUCAACCCUUUUUCUAGCUGGCUCUCUCGAACUAGGCUGAGUUUGUUCGUCGAAAGCGAUUGUAUCGUUUGUAGAUUGAAACUCUAACUGAGAAGAAGAAGGAGACAGUCUUCCCAUCUUUAAACUCAAUUGCUUACGUAUUCAAAUAUAUGUUUAUUACCUAACUAUGAAUAUUGUAGACAUGUAUAUUUACAGCAUCAAUCUAUUGAUAUGACUUUCACGCGUUCUUCCUCUUCUCGGUUAAUCUGUUGUCCCUAUUCCAUAAGCACGGAGGAAAGAUUUGCAAUCCUUUCGCCGUAUUCACAUCUUUAGUAGUGCGAUUAUCGUUCUCUUGCAUAAACUUCCGAUUAAAGCCAAAGUUAAAGCUGUUUCCAGAAGUACCAAGCGGACACGGAAAUGUAAAUAGACGAGAGUAAAUAUUCCUCUUUUUUUUAUAUAUCUUAAGUCGAUUUUGUAUUAUGGUAAUACUCAUAUUGUUAUGUACCAGUCAAACUUGCAGACUCGGAGGUUGAGCAGGUCUACAAAAUCGGACUUUGCUGAAGAUCGCUUUUCCAUCCUACCAACGGCAAGACACGGAGGUGACCGGCCACGAUCUGUAGCUUAUACGCAGUCACUUCUCCUUCCCCUCAAAGUUACUUUAAAAGACAUCGUGCAGAAUCCUCGGAGAUAACCGAGCGAAUCUCUCUCAGAGUGACUUUGGAACACGAAUGUGUAGAACCAGGCACGCUACUCGAUCAUCUCUCCAUAUUGAGAUGCGGACGUGAUAGCCCUCUACGCCGGCAUCAUCUACGAAGGAUGUACCCUUGAAGGAGCGAGCGUGCCAGGCUCGAGAGACGAGAGGGUUUCAAGUAGAAGCGACGCGAGAGGUCUGGUGGAGGAGCGACAUGGUGUAGCGAGAGGUAAUUGUUCAUCACAGCACUCUAUAACUACAUCGAAAGAGAGCGGGGGAGAGUGCGAAUGGGAGAUGUAUACUGUAAUAGAGACGCGGGAUUGCGCUACCGCAUUCAAGACGCGGGUCCAGCCUCUCAAUAUUGUUCUGAUACGCGUAAGAAAAAUGAAUAAAAGUAAUAUAAAGAAAAGAAAAAAAA
Molecule: unclassified non-coding RNA, 2702 nt
Organism: Acromyrmex echinatior (Panamanian leafcutter ant)
Lineage: Eukaryota; Metazoa; Arthropoda; Insecta; Hymenoptera; Formicidae
Source: RefSeq, a predicted model, not a curated record